GACGAACGCUGGCGGCGUGCCUAAUACAUGCAAGUAGAACGCUGAAGGAGGAGCUUGCUCUUCUGGAUGAGUUGCGAACGGGUGAGUAACGCGUAGGUAACCUGCCUGGUAGCGGGGGAUAACUAUUGGAAACGAUAGCUAAUACCGCAUAAGAGUAGAUGUUGCAUGACAUUUACUUAAAAGGUGCAAUUGCCUCACUACCAGAUGGACCUGCGUUGUAUUAGCUAGUUGGUGGGGUAACGGCUUACCAAGGCGACGAUACAUAGCCGACCUGAGAGGGUGAUCGGCCACACUGGGACUGAGACACGGCCCAGACUCCUACGGGAGGCAGCAGUAGGGAAUCUUCGGCAAUGGACGGAAGUCUGACCGAGCAACGCCGCGGGAGUGAAGAAGGGUUUCGGAUCGUAAAGCUCUGUUGUAAGAGAAGAACGAGUGUGAGAGUGGAAAGUUCACACUGUGACGGUAUCUUACCAGAAAGGGACGGCUAACUACGUG
RNAcentral lists this ribosomal RNA (495 nucleotides) under uncultured bacterium. Its description in RNAcentral is "partial 16S ribosomal RNA". It matches the Rfam family "Bacterial small subunit ribosomal RNA", at positions 28 to 507 of the family's 1533-position model. The record is from RNAcentral.